This 151-nucleotide ribosomal RNA is filed under the name Chaetomiaceae sp. NRRL 62993. RNAcentral describes it as "5.8S ribosomal RNA". It matches the Rfam family "5.8S ribosomal RNA". From Rfam's summary of the family: 5.8S ribosomal RNA (5.8S rRNA) is a component of the large subunit of the eukaryotic ribosome. Lineage: Eukaryota; Fungi; Ascomycota; Sordariomycetes; Sordariales; Chaetomiaceae. The record is from RNAcentral.
AAACUUUCAACAACGGAUCUCUUGGUUCUGGCAUCGAUGAAGAACGCAGCGAAAUGCGAUAAGUAAUGUGAAUUGCAGAAUUCAGUGAAUCAUCGAAUCUUUGAACGCACAUUGCGCCCGCCAGUAUUCUGGCGGGCAUGCCUGUUCGAGC